This 460-nucleotide ribosomal RNA is filed under the name uncultured bacterium. RNAcentral describes it as "partial 16S ribosomal RNA". It matches the Rfam family "Bacterial small subunit ribosomal RNA", at positions 338 to 795 of the family's 1533-position model. The record is from RNAcentral.
CCUACGGGAGGCAGCAGUGAGGAAUAUUGGUCAAUGGACGCAAGUCUGAACCAGCCAUGCCGCUUGCAGUCCUCCUUCCCUCUUCUUUUUCCCCUUCUUUUCUUCUCUUUUCCCCUCACCUACGCGUAUCUGUCUGAAAGUAUCGUACGAAUAAGGAUCGGCUAACUCCGUGCCAGCCGCCUCGGUAAUACUGAGGAUUCACGCGUUAUCCGGAUUUAUUGGGUUUAAAGGGUGCGUAGGCGGUCGGAUAAGUUAGAGGUGAAAUCCCGAGGCUCAACUUCGGAAUUGCCGCUGAUACUGUUCGGCUAGAGAGUAGUUGCGGUAGGCGGAAUGUAUGGUGUAGCGGUGAAAUGCUUAGAGAUCAUACAGAACACCGAUUGCGAAGGCAGCUUACCAAGCUACUUCUGACGUUGAGGCACGAAUGCGUGGGGAGCAAACAGGAGUAGAGAAAAGGGGAGUC